Molecule: long non-coding RNA, 205 nt
Filed under: Gossypium raimondii (Peruvian cotton)
Lineage: Eukaryota; Viridiplantae; Streptophyta; Magnoliopsida; Malvales; Malvaceae
Description: long non-coding RNA (GRAI_LNC005180)
Source: RNAcentral
UUCACAACAAAACUGUCCACCUGCGCGACUGUCACUAAUUUACUUAUAACUCAAGCUACGAAACUUAAAAUUUAAAUCCGUAAAUUUUUCCUGAAACUAGACUCAUAUUCCUACUUACCGUAUAAUUUUUAGAAUUUUUUACUUAGCCAAUUAGUACAGUUUAUUCAUUAAAGUAUCCCCUAUUUCACAGCUCGACAGAUCUGAC